Molecule: long non-coding RNA, 478 nt
Organism: Drosophila subobscura
Lineage: Eukaryota; Metazoa; Arthropoda; Insecta; Diptera; Drosophilidae
Exons: 2
Source: RefSeq, a predicted model, not a curated record
AAAGGCAAGACAUACUUGAAAAAUAAAAGCAGCGCUGCCCCGAUCGUUACUCACUCACACAACGGCACUCACUCACUCCAGUAGUCUCUCUCUCUGCCAUUCGCUUUGCUCUCCAUUGCUGUGCUCGCGCGCGUGUGUGUGUAAGCUUUGCCUGUUCUGUGCUGCGGUUCUUUGUCGGAGUUGCCACACAGCCUCGAAAUUCGUCGAAUUUUAAAUUGGAAACGAGCAAGCAAGCGCACGGACAUUUCGUUGAAAUAGUUAAACCAUGCAUGUACAAAUAAACGAGUGUAUGUAGGUUCUGUAUUCUGCUGAUAAGACACGCAUAACAGCCUGCUCCAGAGACUCCCGGCUUAUCAACGAAAAGAGGAAAAAACUGUGUAGCAAAAAUGGGUCGAGCGACGACCGAGCAAGCACAUUGUGUAUUGUUUUUUGUUGUGUUUGCACUAUCGCUUAAUAAUUGAAAUUAAAGAAAAGAUUG